CCUCCUUUCAAGGAAGCUUUCCGAGCUUCGGACCGGGUAACCGGUUCGGAUUGGAAAGCUCCGAUAAAAAGUCCUCCCUCUAGGAUCAGGGGAGGCACAGCCAAGGAACCACAUUCCCGUGACCUCGGUCAUGGAAGCGCCGUCAACAUAUCCCGUCCAGCAACAAUCGUCGGACCCUUUUGGGCUAGUAGCUCAGUUGGUUAGAGCACACGCUUGAUAAGCGUGGGGUCGGAGGUUCAAGUCCUCCCUGGCCCACCAUCGGGAUCACUAUCGGGGGCGUAGCUCAGCUGGGAGAGCACCUGCUUUGCAAGCAGGGGGUCGUCGGUUCGAUCCCGUCCGCCUCCACCAGGUGGCCCAUUCCUGUGUUUGGGUUGCCUGAUGCCGGAAGGCUGUGGGUCUGGAACGAAGACGGUUGUUGGUUGGGAAAAGAGAUCGGACGGAUGUCCGGCAGCCGCGAUGCGGCGCCGGGUGUCUUAGUCUGGUGAGUUUGUUCUUUGUCAGUGUGAAUAGGUUGGUGCGUUCGUGUGCGUGCCGUGUCGCGGGUUGGUCUGACCCAUGCGAUGGUCCGGGGAACCGGGGUAUUGCGUGCUGUGCGAUGUGGCGAAAGCGUACAUGAACGACAAAGUAGAGAAGAGUGGUCGUGAGAUGAACUGCACUUUCUUAUGUGCGGGACUGUCUGCCCCCUGGGUGGAUGGCUCCUGUGCAUGUGUGGUGAAUGAGCGCGAUAAGGGCAUUCGGUG
Molecule: transfer RNA, 740 nt
Filed under: Komagataeibacter sp.
Lineage: Bacteria; Pseudomonadati; Pseudomonadota; Alphaproteobacteria; Acetobacterales; Acetobacteraceae
Description: eukaryotic LSU rRNA
Rfam family: tRNA (bases 182-255)
Source: RNAcentral